UAUUAUAUAGUAAUAAAAUAUUACUUAAAUGCAAUUAUUAAAAUAUUAAGAAAAAAUUUGAAUAACUUUUGCAGUAUUAUUAGACAUUAAACAAUUGCCUUAUGACAUAUGAUCUUUUAAUUUUUGUAUUGCGCAUGGUCCUGAGACGAAGUGUCCAAUGGCGCGUUGCUAACGCGCGAGCGAUGGGAGGGGAGCAAUAAGCUGACAGCACUCUGAUAUAUUUGCUGACUGUGAAUAGCUUAAAAACAUUUUUUCCUUGAUAUUUGUGGCGAAUAGCACAUGAUGAAGUGAUAGUCUGUUGAAGUAUAAACGAGUAUUUUCAAACGGAUUGUAAGAAAUAAGGAAAUAAAGGUGGGUCUACAACGCAAUCUCAAAGAUCACAACAACUCUUCUUGCCACAAAACAACAGUAACAACAGUAAAAACACAAAGAGUAGUAAAAUGUCUUUUGCAUUGCAGAUGUUUUAUGUCGUAUUUUUCAUAUUUGGAUUGGUUUUGGGCACUAAAAUAUAUGAAAUGGAUGAAUUUUCAACAGAUUUCUUAUUUGGACUUAUUGUCGGCCUAUUUUUGGGAAUAAUAAUAUAUAAAUUUAUAAAGAAUGUGUUACAAAAUUGCUCUCGAUGGUUACUAAAUUGCUCUCGACGGUUACGAAAUUGCUUACAAUGACACUAUGAUUGAAUAAUUGAUGAUCAUUAUUUUACUAAUUUUGUAUUCAAAGUUUUUUUGUAACUUAUUAUGUAAUGGAUCAUUAAUUAUAAAGAAAUUAUAAAAUAAUCAAGUUAUUUCAAAUCAUUUCACUAUAUUGCCGUAUAUACUCCACAUUAUAAUCCGGUUAUCUUGUCAUUUCUUCUAAGAAUUAUAAGAAUGUUUAUUUUCUAAGCAGGAUUAUUUUAAAAUAAAUUGCACCUAGUCUUCUCAUAGAACUGUAAAUCUACUAUCGUAACGCAUCGUAAUACUAAUUGCUAAAUCUAAAGGAAUAUAAUUGAAGAGCUUGCUAUAACAGUAAGCUAAAAAAUUUUUUAUAAAAAAAACGGAAGAAAGAAAUUCUAAAGACACAUUCAGAAGUUAAAUCAGAUGGUAGCAUUUCAAUAAAUACUUAACAAUAACAGCGGGCCUAUUCUGUAAUUUUUAACGACAGUUUCAUUAUCGUUUAUAACAUCAUUAUGUAGCUUUUUUUGUCAUAUAUUAAGCAUUCACAUCAAUUUUUAUUUCAAAACCAUGUGCUACGAUUAUUGCAACAAAUACAUGAAUACAAGAUAAAUACAAGACACAACUCAUUUCUGCGUAAUGUUUUGUUCUUUCAAAGCAGGCGCAGCUUCUUUGCAUGAUUCGGAAGUUCUCGAUCUUACAAUGUUUUCGAUAAUCAUAAUGGAUAUUAGAUCGGCCAAUAGAAACAAUUAACUUGUUUGAUGGAAUCUAUUACUUAAUUUAUCUCGUUCUUUGACUACGAUAUUUAUUGUCGAUUUUCUACAUGAUGGAUCACGGCCUUGGCCGGAACCGCCCAAUUAAUUUCAUCAAGCUCGCGCGUCGGGCGUCGUAAUUUUUAUGGAGACGUAUCGAUUAAGUCAACCUGGCCAUGAUGAGGGGGACCAAAUAUAAUUCAGACGUUAGCUUUGCGUCACGUGAGUAGAAACAAGUUUUAUCACGAUCGGCGGGGCGUAAGAUCGCGCACAAUCAACCUCAUCCUUUUCGAGCUUCACCAAAAUAACUCGUCAGAUUAAAAAGUUUAUUUAAGAUCGAUUACGUGGUAAUUUACUUAAAAUAUCGCUACGUUGUUUUGCUCACACAUUUGACUGAUUUUAUUGUCUAUUUUGUUUAUCAUAUUAUUUAUGUAAUAAAGAAUUACACAGAUAUACGAGUCGAGUUUGAAUUUAAUUCCAUUGCGGUGUAAUCACUGAAAAAAA
This is a long non-coding RNA of Solenopsis invicta (red fire ant), 1903 nucleotides long. RefSeq lists it as uncharacterized. Lineage: Eukaryota; Metazoa; Arthropoda; Insecta; Hymenoptera; Formicidae. The record is from RefSeq and is a predicted model, not a curated record. The transcript is spliced from 3 exons.